Molecule: long non-coding RNA, 2087 nt
Organism: Drosophila biarmipes
Lineage: Eukaryota; Metazoa; Arthropoda; Insecta; Diptera; Drosophilidae
Exons: 2
Source: RefSeq, a predicted model, not a curated record
AAUAUACCUAUACCAACUCACUGAAAAAAAUAACUAAAACUAAAACCGAAAAAUGGUAUCAUCAAUUGUUUGUGAUUUGUGCACUAAUAAUGUGGAGAAAAGUGAGUUUGAAGCUCAUUAUGGCAAGGGCUCAAAGCCUCGAAAUGGUUUCGAAGUUUUCAUGGCUAGAUCACAAAUAAAAUGCGACUUGUGCUCUACUGAGGUCAACAAUAAUGACUUUGAUGAGCAUUAUCAAAAUUGUGAAGGGCCCAAAAAUGCAUUCAUUUUAUUAAUGAAUGGUAGAAAACAACAACAAAAACAAAAAAAAACAACAACAACAACAACACCAUCAAAAAUAACAACAACACCAUCAAAAACAACAACAACAACUAAACCAAGAACUAAAAAAUUUAGACGACCAUCCUUCAACAUCCGCUAAUGCUCUUAAACGAAUAAGAUUGGAGGAGGGUAAAAAAAUCAUUAAUCAACACAAAGAAAAUUAAAAUUAUAGAGAGCAAAAAGGAUUUAAAAAUGGAACUUUUAUUUCCUACGUGCAGUGAAAAAUAUCUGGCCUCAAGAGAACGUCAGCCGAUAUUGACCGGUAAGAAUAAAAAUGCAUCGGUCAGAGAGGUCAAGAAUAAUCAAAAUAUUAUUCACCUUUGUUCUAAAACUAAGUUUCCAGUAAAAUCAUAUAGAAUAAAUAGUUCUGUCCAAAAUACUAUUGAUUUAAAAGAUUAUUACCAGCUUUGCCAAAGAAAAAAUAUAAGAAGUUCUAAAGCAUUGCAUGAUUGAAUAUAGUGUCAUUAAAUUCAGCCUGAGAGUUUAUGGUACCUAUAAAAAACGAGAAGGAGAUACAAUUAAAACAACAAAACAUUUUACGACUGCAGACAAAUCGGUAUACCAAUCUGAAAACAUUGACAAUGAGUUAAAUACGGCAAUAGAUAGUUUAUUAACAUCAAGCAGUGAGUUUAAAGAAAAAGAUUCUGGUUGGCAAUUAGAAAUUUUAUAUAUUUUGAAAUUACGAUAAUAAAUCUAGAAAACAUUCCUGCUAGCGGAUACAUCCAGGCCCCUAAAAAUAUAAGAGCACGAAAUGCGCUUAUAAAUGUAAAAAACACGGAUGUAUUUUGUUUCAAGUGGUGCGUACUAGCAUACGAGUAUAUAGCUAAUAAAAGCCAUGAGAGUACUACCUUUGCAACAACACAGCAAAGAAAGUAUUCGAAAAAAUGACAAAGCAAUCAUUGUGUAUGAUGGCAUAAGUUUGUAUUUUUCGGAAAUCGAGUGUCCAAUCACAAAUAAAGGAAUUAUUCAGUUAAAAAAAAAAUAAUGCAGACUUCAACAUUAACAUUUAUGAAACUGAUGCAGAUGGCGAAAAAAUUAUCAGGCCAACCUUUAGAACAAAGUCAAUUCGUUCUAUUCAUAUCAAUAUAUUAGGAAUCAACAAUAUAAGCCAAGAAGUCAUGCAUUAUGCCUACAUUAUGAGUGUAAAAAGAUUAUGUUAAUCGCAACAUUCCAAAUCGAAGGCGGGUGGAUAUUUUUGUGAAAACUGCUUACAAUUUUUCACCGUAAAUAACACAACCCAUAAUAAGCUUGAGUGCGGAAAAGAAGCCUCCAUCUACCCAGAGCCAAAUACUACAACAUCGUUUAAGGGCUUUCACAAAAAAUUAUCCCCUCCAGUGGUGAUAUAUGCUGAAAUUGAGGCUGUUCUUGAAAAUUACAGUACAUGCCUAAGCUGAGCAACUACUUCGUCGACAACAAAAGUGCAAAAGCAUACUGUAUGUGCAGUAUCAUUUUACAUUGCGCAUAAAUAUAAUCCGGCUCUUAACGAAUUGUACACAUAUGAAGGCGCUGACUGCAUUACCCAAUUUUGUAAAUCACUCAAAGAAAAAACUAUGAGUUUGUUUUACAAAUAUUGGUCAACCCCCAAAGGUCCGAGCACAAGUCCAAUUAAUGACGAUGAUCAGAAGGGUAGUUGCUGCGCCUGUGAGAAUGAAAUACAUGAUGACGACCUGGAAAACCACUUCGACCAAUUUACUGGAAAUUACGUGGUACCUAUUCAUAAAAAUUGUAAGCCAAAAUAUAAAUUAAGGGAUCCUUUGUUUCCUGUAGUA